UGGUGGAGUGAUCUGUCAGGUUAAAUCCGAUAACGAACGAGAUCUUAACUAACUAAUUAUCAACUACUCAUCAUUAGUAUAUAAGGGAGUAGAAGAUUAUAGGAGUACACUGCGAUUAUCGCGCAAGGAAGUGGAAGGCAAUAACA
This 146-nucleotide ribosomal RNA is filed under the name uncultured eukaryote. RNAcentral describes it as "partial 18S ribosomal RNA". It matches the Rfam family "Eukaryotic small subunit ribosomal RNA", at positions 1299 to 1458 of the family's 1831-position model. The record is from RNAcentral.